This 407-nucleotide ribosomal RNA is filed under the name uncultured bacterium. RNAcentral's name for it is "partial 16S ribosomal RNA". It matches the Rfam family "Bacterial small subunit ribosomal RNA", at positions 28 to 526 of the family's 1533-position model. The record is from RNAcentral.
GACGAACGCUGGCGGCGUGCCUAAUACAUGCAAGUAGAACGCAGUUGCGAACGGGUGAGUAACGCGUAGGUAACUGCCCCAUAGUGGGGGAUAACUAUUGGAAACGAUAGCUAAUACCGCAUACUGUGGGAUGGACCUGCGUUGUAUUAGCUAGUUGGUGAGGUAAGGGCGCACCAAUGCGACGAUACAUAGCCGACCUGAGUGAGUGAGCUGCCACCCGGGGACUUGGAGACGGCCCAGACGCCUACGGGAGGCAGCGGGAGGGAAGUGUCGGCAAUGGAAGAAAGGCUGACCGAGCAACGCCGCGAGAGUGAAGAGGGUUUUCGGAUCGUAGAGCUCUGUUGUUAGGGAGGGGGUAAGUAACCAGAAAGGGACGGCUAACUACGUGCCAGCAGCCGCGGUAAUUC